CCUACGGGGUGCUGCAGUGGGGAAUAUUGGACAAUGGGCGAAAGCCUGAUCCAGCCAUGCCGCGUGUGUGAAGAAGGCCUUCGGGUUGUAAAGCACUUUCAGUGGGGAAGAAAGCCUUGGGGCUAAUACCCUCGAGGAAGGACAUCACCCACAGAAGAAGCACCGGCUAACUCCGUGCCAGCAGCCGCGGUAAUACGGAGGGUGCGAGCGUUAAUCGGAAUUACUGGGCGUAAAGCGCGCGUAGGCGGUCUGAUAAGCCGGUUGUGAAAGCCCCGGGCUCAACCUGGGAACGGCAUCCGGAACUGUCAGGCUAGAGUGCAGGAGAGGAAGGUAGAAUUCCCGGUGUAGCGGUGAAAUGCGUAGAGAUCGGGAGGAAUACCAGUGGCGAAGGCGGCCUUCUGGACUGACACUGACGCUGAGGUGCGAAAGCGUGGGUAGCAAACAGGAUUAGAUACCCGAGUAGC
This 464-nucleotide ribosomal RNA is filed under the name Vreelandella stevensii. RNAcentral describes it as "partial 16S ribosomal RNA". It matches the Rfam family "Bacterial small subunit ribosomal RNA", at positions 338 to 794 of the family's 1533-position model. The record is from RNAcentral. Lineage: Bacteria; Pseudomonadati; Pseudomonadota; Gammaproteobacteria; Oceanospirillales; Halomonadaceae.